This 274-nucleotide ribosomal RNA is filed under the name uncultured bacterium. RNAcentral's name for it is "partial 16S ribosomal RNA". It matches the Rfam family "Bacterial small subunit ribosomal RNA", at positions 523 to 796 of the family's 1533-position model. The record is from RNAcentral.
AUACGGGGGGUGCAAGCGUUAUUCGGAUUUAUUGGGCGUAAAGGGCGCGUAGGCGGCUUGGUAAGUCAGAUGUGAAAGCCCGGGGCUUAACCCCGGAAGUGCAUUUGAAACUAUCAGGCUUGAGUAUGGGAGAGGGAAGUGGAAUUCCUGGUGUAGAGGUGAAAUUCGUAGAUAUCAGGAGGAACACCGGUGGCGAAGGCGACUUCCUGGACCAAUACUGACGCUGAGGCGCGAAGGCGUGGGGAGCAAACAGGAUUAGAAACCCGGGUAGUCC